This 397-nucleotide ribosomal RNA is filed under the name uncultured bacterium. RNAcentral's name for it is "partial 16S ribosomal RNA". It matches the Rfam family "Bacterial small subunit ribosomal RNA", at positions 523 to 918 of the family's 1533-position model. The record is from RNAcentral.
AUACGUAGGUGACAAGCGUUAUCCGGAUUUACUGGGCGUAAAGGGCGUGUAGGCGGUCUUGCAAGUCAGAAGUGAAAUUCCUGAGCUCAACUCGGGCGCUGCUUCUGAAACUGCAGGUCUUGAGUGCUGGAGGGGAUAGCGGAAUUCCUAGUGGAGCGGUAAAAUGCGGCGAUAGUAGGAAGAACACCGGUGGCGAAGGCGGCUAUCUGGACGGAAACCGACACUGAGGCGCGAAAGCGUGGGGAGCAAACAGGAUUAGAUGCCCUGGUCGCCCACGCCGUAAACGAUGAAUACUAGGUGUAGGUGGUAUCGCCGCCCUCUGUGCCGCAGCUAACACAAUAAGUGUUCCGCCUGGGGAGUACGGGCGCAAGGUUGAAACCCAAAUGCAUUGACGGGG